UCCAGCUAAGGUCCCAAAAUCAUAGUUAAGUGGGAAAGGAUGUGGGAAGGCCAAGACAACCAGGAGGUUGGCUUAGAAGCAGCCAUCCUUUAAAGAAAGCGUAACAGCUCACUGGUCUAAACAAGCCGUCCUGCGCCGAAGAUGUAUCGGGGCUCAAACUAUGUACCGAAGCUGAGGAUUCAAUUAUCUUACGGGAUAAUUGUCUGGUAGCGGAGCGUUCCGUAGGCCUGCGAAGGUGAUCCGUGAGGGUUGCUGGAGGUAUCGGAAGUGAGAAUGCUGACAUGAGUAGCGACAAAGAGUGUGAGAAACACUCUCGCCGAAAGUCCAAGGGUUCCUCAGCAAGGCUAAUCCGCUGAGGGUGAGCCGGCCCCUAAGGCAAGGCCGAAAGGCGUAGUCGAUGGGAAUCUGGUUAAUAUUCCAGGGCCUGGUGGAUGUGACGGAUCUUGUAAAUUGUUCUCUCUUAUCGGAUUGAGAGGGCUGUGAAGAGGUCCCAGGAAAUAACACCACCAUUAUAGACCGUACCCUAAACCAACACAGGUGGACUGGUAGAGUAUACCAAGGCGCUUGAGAGAACGAUGCUGAAGGAACUCGGCAAAUUGCUUGCGUAACUUCGGGAUAAGCAAGCCCCGUUAAUGGGCAACCAUUGGCGGGGGGCACAGACUAGGGGGUAGCGACUGUUUACUAAAAACAUAGGGCUCUGCGAAGUGGCUAACACGACGUAUAGGGUCUGACGCCUGCCCGGUGCCGGAAGGUUAAGAGGAGAGGUGAGAGCUUUGAAUCGAAGCCCCGGUAAACGGCGGCCGUAACUAUAACGGUCCUAAGGUAGCGAAAUUCCUUGUCGGGUAAGUUCCGACCUGCACGAAUGGCGUAACGACUUCCCCACUGUCUCCAGCAUCGACUCAGCGAAAUUGAAUUCUCCGUGAAGAUGCGGAGUACCCGCGGUCAGACGGAAAGACCCCGUGCACCUUUACUACAGCUUCAGAGUGGUACUAGGGAAUGACUAUGUAGGAUAGGCGGGAGACUUUGAACCCCGGCCGCCAGGUCGGGUGGAGUCACCCUUGAAAUACCGCCUUUUUGUUCUCUGGUAUCUAACCGCGAUCCCUGAACCGGGAUCCGGGACCCUCUGUGGCGGGUAGUUUGACUGGGGCGGUCGCCUCCCAAAGAGUAACGGAGGCG
Molecule: ribosomal RNA, 1176 nt
Filed under: Prorocentrum minimum
Lineage: Eukaryota; Dinophyceae; Prorocentrales; Prorocentraceae
Description: bacterial LSU rRNA
Rfam family: Bacterial large subunit ribosomal RNA
Source: RNAcentral